GAUGAACGCUGGCGGCGUGCUUAACACAUGCAAGUCGAACGAAGAGGCGCAGCUUUCUCGGCUGAUUCGUUGCCAACGGGUGAGUAACACGCGCGUAACCAACCCUCCUCUCUAGCUUGGGCCCCUUCGACAGACCGUAACACUUACCAGGUACUACUACCACCUGCUUGGUGUUGUAGAGAAUUUCGGUUUUGGUUGGACUUGUUGCCUAUCCGCUUGUUGGUUAGCUAAUGGCUAACGAAACCGCCGACGGGUAGCCGGCCUGAGAGGCGAACCGGCCACACUGGGACUGAGACACGGCGCAGACUGCUACGUGAGGCAGCAGUGGGGAAUAUUGCACAAUGGGCGAAAGCCUGAUGCAGCGGCGCCGGGUGAGGGAUGACGGCCUUCGGGUUGUAAACCACUUUCAGUAGGGAAGAAGCGAAAGUGACGGUACCUGAAGAAGAAGCACCGGCUAACUACGUG
RNAcentral lists this ribosomal RNA (465 nucleotides) under uncultured bacterium. RNAcentral describes it as "partial 16S ribosomal RNA". It matches the Rfam family "Bacterial small subunit ribosomal RNA", at positions 28 to 507 of the family's 1533-position model. The record is from RNAcentral.